Molecule: ribosomal RNA, 389 nt
Filed under: uncultured bacterium
Lineage: Bacteria
Description: bacterial SSU rRNA
Rfam family: Bacterial small subunit ribosomal RNA
Source: RNAcentral
GACGAACGCUGGCGGCGUGCUUAACACAUGCAAGUCGAGCGGUAAGGCCCUUUCGGGGGUACACGAGCGGCGAACGGGUGAGUAACACGUGGGUGACCUGCCCUCAGCUCUGGGAUAAGCCUGGGAAACUGGGUCUAAUACCGGAUAUGACUCCAUGACGCAUGUUGUGGGGUGGAAAGCCUUGUGCGGCUGAGGAUGGGCCCGCGGCCUAUCAGCUUGUUGGUGGGGUGANGGCCUACCAAGGCGACGACGGGUAGCCGGCCUGAGAGGGCGACCGGCCACACUGGGACUGAGACACGGCCCAGACUCCUACGGGAGCAGCAGUGGGGAAUCUUGCGCAAUGGGCGAAAGCCUGACGCGGCGACGCCGCGUGAGGGAUGACGGCCUGG